GCGGACAUGGCGGAAUUGGCAGACGCGUUAGAUUCAGGUUCUAAUGAUUGAAAAAUCUUGCAGGUUCAACUCCUGUUGUCCGCACCA
This 87-nucleotide transfer RNA is filed under the name Christensenellaceae bacterium. RNAcentral describes it as "tRNA-Leu". It matches the Rfam family "tRNA". Rfam says of the family: Transfer RNA (tRNA) molecules are approximately 80 nucleotides in length. Lineage: Bacteria; Bacillati; Bacillota; Clostridia; Christensenellales; Christensenellaceae. The record is from RNAcentral.